AAGAAGGGUAAUAUCAUUAUUUUUUAUUUAUAACUACUCAAUUUAAUUCUUAUUCCAUCUUACUAAACCAAAUGCUAUUUUUCUUAUUACUAGGAAUAACCUAAUUUUCAUCCAAACGCAAAAUUAUCUAAUCCCCGCUUAUACCUUAAUUUAUACCUAUUCCUGAAAUAGCCACUUUUUGCUUAUUCCCGAACCAAACGAUACCUUAAAAGUGUAUAUAUAUAUAUAUAUAUAGAGAGAGAGAGAGAGAGAGAGAGAGAGUGGGCUGGUAUGCUUAUGGAAGUACGGAGGCCUCCAUGCUUCCAAGUUGUUUUCGAUGUUCGGACUUUCGAAUCGACGAUCGGCUCCGUUAGAGUUGAUCUAGAGUAUCUGAAGUAGCUAGAAAAUAAAUUUUGUGAUUUUUCGAUAUCAUUUGCCUAGUGAUCGAAGGGGCUCAAAAUCAAUAAUUUUAAUGGUCGUGGUGAGCCGGUUGCAAGUUUAACGGCGUAGAAAUAUCCAAAUCACAUGAAAUUUUGAUAAAAAAUUCUUUAUACUAUAUAAAAUAAGAUCAAUAUCUUUGAUCUAAAUUUUAAUGUCAUAUCAUCACAUUCUCCGUGCUUUCAUAAACAUACUAGCCGCACACUCUCUCUCUCUCUCUCUAUAUAUAUAUAUAUAUACUAGGCUUUGGCUUAAAAAUGCCAGCACUCUACCUUAUUACGGGAGACCAGAUUGGGCUGAGUCGGGAGACCAGAUUGGGCGAAGUCACAUUCGAAUUGGCAUGAGGUCAGGUUGGGACAAGUCAUGUUCGAAAUGACGUGAGAUCGGUUUGACCAAAUCACAAUUAAGAUUCGUAGAUACUGUGUCUAUAGGCUGUAAAUUAAUUAGUUGCGUAUUUCUAAUAGUUCGAGUUUUUGAGAUUAUUAAUAGUUAGCGACAGCAAUCCGACAAGUGGUAUCAAAGGUAAAGUUCAUGGGUUCGAUUUUCGCAUGUUGCGAAUUUGUGUUAGUAUUGAGAAAAAUUAUUGGUUUAAAAGGGCCAAGGGUUGUUCUGAUGUGGUGCAUCUGGUGUAAGCAACAAUUCCUCGUGCGUGGCGCGCGAGCAGCGUUUGAUUGGUUACGUAGAGCUCCUAAUAAUCCGUGAUUAAUUCUAGUCUCGGCAUAAACCUCUGUGGAGAAAGUAUUGUAUACACCGGCACGAAUUGUAGCCAAACAGCAGAAGAACAGCAGGGAACGGGUUAUUCCGAUCAAAGCGUAUUGUUCUGGAUUGUUCUGGAACAACACGUUAAAAAUUAUUCAUAGGAAACUGAGAACAACUUUAUUCUUCUAUUUAUUUUAUUAGAUAAAUAGAUAUAUAAAUAAAUAUAUUAAUAUAAAUAUUAUUUUUAUGAUAAUAUAUUUAAACUUAAAUUUUAUUAUAUAAUAUAAAUUAAUUAAAUUUGAUAUAUUAUUUAUUUUAUUAAGUUUUAUUAUUUAUAUAUUAAUAUUUAAUUAUAAUAAUUAUUUUUUCAUGCAUUAUAUAUAUUUUUUAAUUUGUAUUGAAAUUUAUAUUAUUAUUAAUUAAAAUAAUAAAGAUAUCGUUACAUAUAAAUUAUUAUUAUAUAUAGUAAAAUAAAUAUAUUAUUUGAAAAUAAAUUGUUACAUAAAAUAUUAUAUUAUAAAUUACUAUAGAAAUAAUUUUAUAUAAAAUAUACUUAUACAAAUUAAUUAUUUUAUUUUUAAAAUAUAUUUAGACAUUAUUCUAUACUUUUUAUCCAAACGCUACUAAGGAUAUCCUCUAGAAUAUCUCCGAAUGCAUUCAAACAUAAAUUUAUAAUUAUUCUAUCUUAUACCGGAAUAUCUCCUGUUCUCAGGAACAAUAAAAAUUGUUCUUCAAAAUAUAGUUCUCCAACCAAACGCAGCUCGAGCGUAUAGUUACAUCGCACACACAUCACUUAUUAAUGUCCUAAAAUCAAAAUAAAAUUAAUUAAAUAUAAUUAAUAUAUUUAAA
Molecule: long non-coding RNA, 1965 nt
Filed under: Ananas comosus (pineapple)
Lineage: Eukaryota; Viridiplantae; Streptophyta; Magnoliopsida; Poales; Bromeliaceae
Description: long non-coding RNA (ACOM_LNC023809)
Source: RNAcentral